Molecule: long non-coding RNA, 454 nt
Organism: Amphiprion ocellaris (clown anemonefish)
Lineage: Eukaryota; Metazoa; Chordata; Actinopteri; Pomacentridae
Source: Ensembl
CGUUAAAACAAUCAGACGGCCAGUUAAUCCAAAGAAACUCAUCCAAAGGGUAGAAAGGAUAAUUACACAGCGCAACAGAGUACAGCGGUAGGCCCUCUUGGCUCCAGUUCCAACUCCAGUCUGCCUCAGCCCUGCGCAGUCAACCGUCAGCAGCGCCACUGGGUGCAGGGAUAUCCCGAUGAAAAGGGAGACUGUUCGGGGUGAAGAAUUCAGGCAAGAUUUAACUACACUCAUCCGUCAUGAAGUGAAGCGGUUGACUAAUUAACCAUCACUCUGAGACAAAAGCCUGUCAUCAUGAAAAUAAUGAAUAUGGAAUGAAAAUCGUGUUGACUGAGUCACUGGAACAUUUCAGAUAAUUUCCUCGUAAGGAGAGGCUGCUAUAAAACUGGUUCAGUUCUCUUGGUCUUUGUCUGCUGAUACUCUUCAUUAGCCCGUAUUAUUAAAAUUGCUGUCC